This is a non-coding RNA of Delitschia confertaspora ATCC 74209, 80 nucleotides long. The record is from the annotation of a GenBank genome assembly. Lineage: Eukaryota; Fungi; Ascomycota; Dothideomycetes; Pleosporales; Delitschiaceae.
GCAUCGGUGGUUUAGUGGUAAAAUUAGCCGUUGCCAAUCGCAGCUUCGGCUAGCCCCGGGUUCGAUUCCCGGCCGAUGCA